RNAcentral lists this ribosomal RNA (570 nucleotides) under Meyerozyma guilliermondii. RNAcentral's name for it is "LSU rRNA". It matches the Rfam family "Eukaryotic large subunit ribosomal RNA", at positions 62 to 648 of the family's 3401-position model. The record is from RNAcentral. Lineage: Eukaryota; Fungi; Ascomycota; Pichiomycetes; Serinales; Debaryomycetaceae.
AAACCAACAGGGAUUGCCUUAGUAGCGGCGAGUGAAGCGGCAAAAACUCAAAUUUGAAAUCUGGCACCUUCGGUGUCCGAGUUGUAAUUUGAAGAUUGUAACCUUGGGGUUGGCUCUUGUCUAUGUUUCUUGGAACAGGACGUCACAGAGGGUGAGAAUCCCGUGCGAUGAGAUGCCCAAUCCUAUGUAAGGUGCUUUCGAAGAGUCGAGUUGUUUGGGAAUGCAGCUCUAAGUGGGUGGUAAAUUCCAUCUAAAGCUAAAUAUUGGCGAGAGACCGAUAGCGAACAAGUACAGUGAUGGAAAGAUGAAAAGAACUUUGAAAAGAGAGUGAAAAAGUACGUGAAAUUGUUGAAAGGGAAGGGUUUGAGAUCAGACUCGAUAUUUUGUGAGCCUUGCCUUCGUGGCGGGGUGACCCGCAGCUUAUCGGGCCAGCAUCGGUUUGGGCGGUAGGAUAAUGGCGUAGGAAUGUGACUUUGCUUCGGUGAAGUGUUAUAGCCUGCGUUGAUGCUGCCUGCCUAGACCGAGGACUGCGAUUUUAUCAAGGAUGCUGGCAUAAUGAUCCCAAACCGC